AACCCGGCUGAUCAGGCUGUUGCUCACUUGCCUUCCUCAGAGGUUGAGUCGUGUGUGUUAAGUGUAAACCUUUCAAACGCGAAGUUCCGAAGCGCACUUUGGAAGAGCUAUGGGUACUAGGACUAUACACACACAGACUAAAAAAUGGAUCAACCGGCAGUGCUUUCGGUCAGUGUUGCUGCAUUCAUUGGCGGCUCCAGAUAAUUCUGUUGAUUGCAGUCAGCCUUGAGUUGGCUAUACAUUUCCAAAUUUUUUCCUUGUCGAUUUUUGGCGGUAGGUAAAUCGCCUGAGCUGGUAAUCAGGGUUUGACCCCCAAGACGGAGCCUCAGAAAUGAUGGUCAUUUCCAAGGAAUGCAUCUCAAACUACCCAGCAUUGGUGAGAUAAGUAGAUGACAGGAAAUUCGGUUACGGCACUCACUACAACCUCCACGUUUGAGAAUCCUCUAACGAGGAUUAACCGGGUGAUGGUCCCAAUAGCCCUGGUGGUUCUAGCUCCAGAAAUGUACAAUAAUAGCUGCUGUAGCUUAAAAUCUUGUAGUUAGGCCUGGGUCGCGUGGCUAUAUGACACACCGCGCGUACUUCUAGCCUAUUUGAUGAAGUUUUUGAGUCGGCGUUUUGUUCUGGCUGGUAAUCUUUUCGAAGGAUUCUUACGGCUAAUCUGCUGACGUGCCUCUGGCUAUCUUUAGCCGGAUGGAGUUGAAGGAAUGCAUACUUUGAACAGUUCACAUGGUGGAAGCUGACCGGUUUGCCAGAACAUUCCUGCGCAAAACAAUGCAAUAAACUCUCACUUCUUUUGUUGGUUUCCGGAUCCAAAGUAAUAGUUGAAAGGAACCGAUGGGAGUAUUUUUGUGGUGGUUCUCAGCUGAGAUCUACAGUGGAGGCAUUCUCAAAAUCUGUCUUCAUUGAUCUGGGGCAGAAUUCAUAGGUUCGAAAAAGCUGAGAUUCCGUCCUAGCUCUGACCGUAAACGAUGUCAUCUCACUAGUAUCAUCCUCCGCUGGCUCCGCGAAACCUCCAAUUCUCUAGGCUCUCAUGGGAAAUGUGGGUGUAAAAUUACGGCCUAAAGGAACUGAAAGAAUGACAUUAUCAGACACAAAGCCUACUUUCUACUUUGAUUCAUUAUGGGAAGUCAAACCCGGCCUGGUCACUGUGCGAACCGAAAGACUGAAAAUUCUUUCUUGAUCCGGUGGUUGAUUUUACGUGGCUCAUCUUAGCUGCUGGGACAACGACUUUGGCCUGCCUAGUAGUACACAUGUUCUCGGUGCACGUACACGUAGCCUUGCUGAUUAUUUCUGCGCGCCGGCGUCAUUUGAAUGGACAAGUCGUUGAACAACGUGCAAGUUGCAUAGAGUUGAAUGCUAGCGAAUCUAAGAUGUCCACAAAGUCUGGGAUGGCAUGUGCGCUACAAGGAAGAUGCCAAGAUAGCUGGGAUCCUAGCCCGAAAGGACUGUGUGAAAUGAAGCAUGACCGACGUGACCGAGAUCGGGAUUUGUAACUAUUCCCCGUGAACCAUGAAUUACUGGUAAAUGCAUACCAUAGGCUUUCCUUUAUCACACGCGUGUUAUAUGUACAAACAACGUACUGCUAAUACCGACUGAAUGGUUUAACAAUACUUUUAGAUUCACGCCACUGUAACUGUUUCGGCAGCCCGAUCAAUG
Molecule: ribosomal RNA, 1656 nt
Organism: Clonorchis sinensis
Lineage: Eukaryota; Metazoa; Platyhelminthes; Trematoda; Opisthorchiida; Opisthorchiidae
Rfam family: Eukaryotic small subunit ribosomal RNA
Source: Rfam